Molecule: long non-coding RNA, 669 nt
Organism: Quercus robur (English oak)
Lineage: Eukaryota; Viridiplantae; Streptophyta; Magnoliopsida; Fagales; Fagaceae
Exons: 2
Source: RefSeq, a predicted model, not a curated record
AGCUAGGUCAGCAGCUGUUCUGCCUGAAGGAUCUUUGGAACAUGGAUCAACUAAUGCAGCAGGAUCCGCACCAAGAGAGACAAGGAAAGCAACUGUGCGCUCUCUGAUAAAGCAUGUUCAAACAAGAAGUCAACAGAAAGAGAAGGCUUUCAUGGCAUACAUAGUUCUCUGCAAUAUAUUCAUUAUAAGAAAUAGGUGUUUUUCCCUUUUCUUCUCAUAUGAGAUUCAGCCUGAAUGUGGUGUCCUCUAAACUGGAAGGCAGAUCAAAGAAUAGAACAGAAGUAUCCAAGGCAAAGUUUACUACAAAGAAGCAAGCAAGAAAUCGUAAGUGCUCACCUGCCACAAAAUGCUGCCCAAUGAAGUGCAGUCCAUCCAUUCACAUCACGGAAAUUGACACUGACACCUGCAAUAAUAGUUGGUUCUAGGGCCCAAUCAUAGCCAAGAGAAGCUGCUAAAUGUAGCACACCUUGGCCACCCUCAUCUAAUACAGAAGGGCCUUUUCCAUCUUCUGCUUCUUUCUGAAGGAGCCAUACAUGCAACUUCUCUUUCAGUAGCUUUUUAAGGAGCUUUUCCUGUACUUUUUUAGAAGAGAAAUCCUUCUCAGAAGCAAGCUCUAAUAUUUGAUGCCAUUCUUUUUUUUGAUUAAUAAUAACAUUUAGCAUUUGAUCC